UACGGAGGAUGCGAGCGUUAUCCGGAUUUACUGGGUGUAAAGGGCGAGUAGGCGGAUGAGCAAGUCAGAUGUGAAAUACCGGGGCUUAACCCCGGGGCUGCAUUUGAAACUGCUUAUCUUGAGUAUCGGAGAGGUAAUCGGAAUUCCCGGUGUAGCGGUGGAAUGCGUAGAUAUCGGGAGGAACACCAGUGGCGAAGGCGGCCUGCUGGACUGUAACUGACACUGAGGCAUGAAAGCGUGGGGGGCAAAC
Molecule: ribosomal RNA, 250 nt
Filed under: uncultured bacterium
Lineage: Bacteria
Description: partial 16S ribosomal RNA
Rfam family: Bacterial small subunit ribosomal RNA
Source: RNAcentral